AAAACGACUUCUCGGCCAACGGAUAUCUCGGCUCUCGCAUCGAUGAAGAACGUAGCGAAAUGCGAUACUUGUGUGAAUUGCAGAAUCCCGUGAACCAUCGAGUCUUUGACCGCAAGUUGCGCCCCCAAGCAAUUAGGCCGAGGGCACGUCUGCUGGGUGUCACGC
Molecule: ribosomal RNA, 165 nt
Filed under: Citrus pseudolimon
Lineage: Eukaryota; Viridiplantae; Streptophyta; Magnoliopsida; Sapindales; Rutaceae
Description: 5.8S ribosomal RNA
Rfam family: 5.8S ribosomal RNA
About the family: 5.8S ribosomal RNA (5.8S rRNA) is a component of the large subunit of the eukaryotic ribosome.
Source: RNAcentral